RNAcentral lists this ribosomal RNA (800 nucleotides) under Vreelandella aquamarina. RNAcentral's name for it is "bacterial SSU rRNA". It matches the Rfam family "Bacterial small subunit ribosomal RNA", at positions 627 to 1426 of the family's 1533-position model. Lineage: Bacteria; Pseudomonadati; Pseudomonadota; Gammaproteobacteria; Oceanospirillales; Halomonadaceae. The record is from RNAcentral.
CCGGAACUGUCAAGCUAGAGUGCAGGAGAGGAAGGUAGAAUUCCCGGUGUAGCGGUGAAAUGCGUAGAGAUCGGGAGGAAUACCAGUGGCGAAGGCGGCCUUCUGGACUGACACUGACACUGAGGUGCGAAAGCGUGGGUAGCAAACAGGAUUAGAUACCCUGGUAGUCCACGCCGUAAACGAUGUCGACCAGCCGUUGGGUGCCUAGCGCACUUUGUGGCGAAGUUAACGCGAUAAGUCGACCGCCUGGGGAGUACGGCCGCAAGGUUAAAACUCAAAUGAAUUGACGGGGGCCCGCACAAGCGGUGGAGCAUGUGGUUUAAUUCGAUGCAACGCGAAGAACCUUACCUACUCUUGACAUCCUGCGAAUUUGGUAGAGAUACCUUAGUGCCUUCGGGAACGCAGAGACAGGUGCUGCAUGGCUGUCGUCAGCUCGUGUUGUGAAAUGUUGGGUUAAGUCCCGUAACGAGCGCAACCCUUGUCCUUAUUUGCCAGCGCGUAAUGGCGGGAACUCUAAGGAGACUGCCGGUGACAAACCGGAGGAAGGUGGGGACGACGUCAAGUCAUCAUGGCCCUUACGAGUAGGGCUACACACGUGCUACAAUGGUCGGUACAAAGGGUUGCCAACUCGCGAGAGUGAGCCAAUCCCGAAAAGCCGAUCUCAGUCCGGAUCGGAGUCUGCAACUCGACUCCGUGAAGUCGGAAUCGCUAGUAAUCGUGGAUCAGAAUGCCACGGUGAAUACGUUCCCGGGCCUUGUACACACCGCCCGUCACACCAUGGGAGUGGACUGCACCAGAAG